RNAcentral lists this ribosomal RNA (427 nucleotides) under uncultured bacterium. RNAcentral describes it as "bacterial SSU rRNA". It matches the Rfam family "Bacterial small subunit ribosomal RNA", at positions 355 to 774 of the family's 1533-position model. The record is from RNAcentral.
UGGGGAAUUUUGGACAAUGGGCGCAAGCCUGAUCCAGCAAUGCCGCGUGCAGGAUGAAGGCCUUCGGGUUGUAAACUGCUUUUGUACGGAGCGAAAAGGUCUGCCCUAAUACGGUGGGCUCAUGACGGUACCAUCAGAAGAAGCACCGGCUAACUACGUGCCAGCAGCCGCGGUAAUACGUAGGGUGCGAGCGUUAAUCGGAAUUACUGGGCGUAAAGCGCGCGUAGGUGGUUUGUUAAGUUGAAUGUGAAAUCCCCGGGCUCAACCUGGGAACUGCAUUUGUGACUGCAUAGCUGGAGUGCGGCAGAGGGGGAUGGAAUUCCGCGUGUAGCAGUGAAAUGCGUAGAUAUGCGGAGGAACACCGAUGGCGAAGGCAAUCCCCUGGGCCUGCACUGACGCUCAUGCACGAAAGCGUGGGGAGCAAACA